RNAcentral lists this transfer RNA (63 nucleotides) under Aradus compar. Its description in RNAcentral is "tRNA-Thr". It matches the Rfam family "tRNA". Rfam says of the family: Transfer RNA (tRNA) molecules are approximately 80 nucleotides in length. Their secondary structure includes four short double-helical elements and three loops (D, anti-codon, and T loops). Further hydrogen bonds mediate the characteristic L-shaped molecular structure. tRNAs have two regions of fundamental functional importance: the anti-codon, which is responsible for specific mRNA codon recognition, and the 3' end, to which the tRNAs corresponding amino acid is attached (by aminoacyl-tRNA synthetases). tRNAs cope with the degeneracy of the genetic code in two manners: having more than one tRNA (with a specific anti-codon) for a particular amino acid; and 'wobble' base-pairing, i.e. permitting non-standard base-pairing at the 3rd anti-codon position. Lineage: Eukaryota; Metazoa; Arthropoda; Insecta; Hemiptera; Aradidae. The record is from RNAcentral.
GUUUUAAUAGUUUAAUUAAAAUAGUGGUCUUGUAAACCACAGAUAGGAAAUUCCUUUAAAACU